Long non-coding RNA from Oncorhynchus keta (chum salmon), 1269 nucleotides. RefSeq lists it as uncharacterized. NCBI's taxonomy places the organism in Eukaryota, Metazoa, Chordata, Actinopteri, Salmoniformes, Salmonidae. The transcript is spliced from 4 exons. The record is from RefSeq and is a predicted model, not a curated record.
UGAAGCGAAGCCGUCUAAUAUAACCGUCUCACUCGGCUCCUAUCUGCACUGCUGAUGUGAGGAAGUAGACUUCAUUAGAAUUGGAAGCACAGCUGAACUGUCCCAGACAUUAUCAGUUUAUAUAACAAACUGUCCCAGACAUUAUCAGUUUAUAUAACAAACUGUCAAGAGAUUAUCGGGUUUGUUACACAAACUGUCCCAGACAUUAUCAGUUUAUAUAACAAACUGUCCCAGACAUUAUCGGGUUUUUUACACAAACUGUCCCAGACAUUAUCAGUUUAUAUAACAAACUGUCCCAGACAUUAUCGGGUUUUUUACACAAACUGUCCCAGACAUUAUCAGUUUAUAUAACAAACUGUCCCAGAUAUUAUCGGGUUUUUUACACAAACUGUCCCAGACAUUAUCAGUUUAUAUAACAAACUGUCUUGGCUGAAGGUGACUGUGUGAGGGUGAUGACUGUGUCUUGGCUGAAGGUGACUGUGUGAGGGUGAUGACUGUGUCUUGGCUGAAGGUGACUGUGUGAGGGUGAUGACUGUGUCUUGGCUGAAGGUGACUGUGUGAGGGUGAUGACUGUGUCUUGGCUGAAGGUGACUGUGUGAGGGUGAUGACUGUGUCUUGGCUGAAGGUGACUGUGUGAGGGUGAUGACUGUGUCUUGGCUGAAGGUGACUGUGUGAGGGUGAUGACUGUGUCUUGGCUGAAGGUGACUGUGUGAGGGUGAUGACUGUGUCUUGGCUGAAGGUGACUGUGUGAGGGUGAUGACUGUGUCUUGGCUGAAGGUGACUGUGUGAGGGUGAUGACUGUGUCUUGGCUGAAGGUGACUGUGUGAGGGUGAUGACUGUGUCUUGGCUGAAGGUGACUGUGUGAGGGUGAUGACUGUGUCUUGGCUGAAGGUGACUGUGUGAGGGUGAUGACUGUGUCUUGGCUAAAGGUGACUGUGUGAGGGUGAUGACUGUGUCUUGGCUGAAGGUGACUGUGUGAGGGUGAUGACUGUGUCUUGGCUGAAGGUGACUGUGUGAGGGUGAUGACUGUGUCUUGGCUGAAGGUGACUGUGUGAGGGUGAUGACUGUGUCUUGGCUGAAGGUGACUGUGUGAGGGUGAUGACUGUGUCUUGGCUGAAGGUGACUGUGUGAGGGUGAUGACUGUGUCUUGGCUGAAGGUGACUGUGUGAGGGUGAUGACUGUGUCUUGGCUGAAGGUGACUGUGUGAGGGUGAUGACUGUGUCUUGGCUGAAGGUGACUGUGUCUUGGCUGAAGGUGACUGUGUGAGCG